AUUGAACGCUGGCGGAAUGCUUUACACAUGCAAGUCGAGCGGCAGCGCGGGGCAACCUGGCGGCGAGCGGCGAACGGGUGAGUAAUACAUCGGAACGUGCCCAGACGUGGGGAUAACUACUCGAAGAGUGGCUAAUACCGCAUACGAUCUAAGGAUGAAAGCGGGGGAUCGCAAGACCUCGCGCGUUUGGAGCGGCCGAUGGCAGAUUAGGUAGUUGGUGGGGUAAAGGCUUACCAAGCCCGCGAUCUGUAGCUGGUCUGAGAGGAUGAUCAGCCACACUGGGACUGAGACACGGCCCAGACUCCUACGGGAGGCAGCAGUGGGGAAUUUUGGACAAUGGGCGAAAGCCUGAUCCAGCCAUUCCGCGUGCAGGAUGAAGGCCCUCGGGUUGUAAACUGCUUUUGUACAGAACGAAAAAGACUCUUUCUAAUACAGAGAGUCCAUGACGGUACUGUAAGAAUAAGCACCGGCUAACUACGUGCCAGCAGCCGCGGUAAU
RNAcentral lists this ribosomal RNA (498 nucleotides) under uncultured bacterium. RNAcentral's name for it is "bacterial SSU rRNA". It matches the Rfam family "Bacterial small subunit ribosomal RNA", at positions 30 to 524 of the family's 1533-position model. The record is from RNAcentral.